RNA transcript from Rhagoletis zephyria (snowberry fruit fly), 1896 nucleotides. It is a transcript of the gene named NF-X1-type zinc finger protein NFXL2-like, with no coding region annotated. Lineage: Eukaryota; Metazoa; Arthropoda; Insecta; Diptera; Tephritidae. The record is from RefSeq and is a predicted model, not a curated record.
AUGACGUCGAGUUAGAAAUCGCCAGAACUUUACCAACUAUAAUUUUCAGGUCGAAGCUACAUUGCCGGACUGCAAUCACUUCAACCAGAAGCCGUGUUAUCUUCCCAUCAAAGAUGCGAUAUGCACUUAUGCUUGCGAGAACCGUUUGCCGUGUGGUCAUAUGUGCCAGCUUAAGUGUCAUGUUAACAAAGACCCGGAACAUAUCGAGGUUUUCAGUACAAGUGCUACAGAGAUUGCGAUCGGAUUAAUGACAAUUGUGUGGAAAAUCACACGUGUAAGAAACAAUACUUCGAAGAAUGCGAACUGUGUCCAAAAAUUGUUGCGAAAACUCGCUCUUGCGGACAUCAUUUCAAGCAAUUUGUGUGCUCGAAGAAUGUAGAGGAAAUUGAGUGCGACAGAUCUUGCAAGCGCAAGUUAAUCUGUGGUCACAAGUGUCCGUCGAAAUACUGCGAACCAUGCGGAAGCUGUCCAUUCCCGAAAAAAAAGAUGAGUUCCUGCAGCCAUAUGGUGGAAGUGAAAUGCAGCGAAGAACCAACGCCGUCUAAAUGUAGCGGAAAAUGUCCUAAAUUAUUACCUUACACCCUUAUACUAACAAAUGCAAAGAGGCUUGCACUUCAGACUGCAAGGUCUUGGUGUAUGGGCACUCAUUGAAAGUACCAUGCUAUCUUCAAAAGACAGAUCCAAACUCACGACAAUUAUUGAAGUACUACAAAGCACCGUGCAAAGUCGAAUUGGAGUGUAAGCAUUUAUGCAAAGGAACGUGUGGUUAUGCAAAGAUUACAUAUACACACUACCACAUGAAAAAGAGUUCAGUUCAGCAUCAAACAAAUUGAUAAGCAUCAACAGGUUCACCGACAAAUUAGAAGCCGAAGUCAAAAAGGAUAUAAGCGGCUUGCAGCAUUUCGAAAAACUUAAAGUCGAACGCCAAAUGAUUCACGAGGCAAUGGGCUGCAGCAAGGUCACUGGUAUAAAUGCCCUAACGGACACAUUUAUAUGAUAACUGAGUGUGGCGGUGCAAUGGAAGUAAGCAAGUGCAAUGAAUGUGGAGCCCAAAUAGGUGGCAGUCAGCACCGAUUGUUGAGCAGUAACACCCUGACGACUGAAAUGGAUGGAGCUACAGACCCGCCUGGCCACACGAUCCUAGAGAAUAUCAAUACAUGUAACUUGAAGAUUAUUUUGAACAUAAUAAAUAGUUCGUAUUUUAAAAAAUGUUGAUCGCUAGCUUAUGAGUAUAUUCAAUAUUAUAAUUCUUGCUGUUUAUAAAAUAAAAUUGUGCCUUUUGACUAUUAUUUGUCAUUACUCUAUUGUUAACUGGACAACAUUACAAUUUAUUUAGAAGAGAUAACUAAACAAUCCGUGUAUAUGGGAAAAACUUCAAAAUGUAUUUAAUUUAACCAGUAUCAUCUUUGCUGCGGCAUGUUUGUUGGGGGGCAACGCCAACGUGCCGCCCCUGGAGGUGCAACAGCUGAUGGACUUCUGUCGCAGGAGACGUCUUCCUGCAAUCAUUGGCUGUGAUGCGAACGCCCACAAUGUUGAUCACCGAAACAAACAGGGGGUGAGUGCCUUUCAGAAUAUACAAGCUGACCCGGCAAACUUCGUUUUGCCCAAUUAGAUUUUUGAUUGAAUUAUUUUCGAAGGUGACUUAGCAUGGUGUGGUUUGGAGGUACCGAUAUGUUGUGUAAAUAUAAAUCUGUUGGAAAGUCAAAAAUUUUAUUAGUUUUUUUUACAUAAAGCCUCAAAGUAAAUUUAAAUAUGAAAGUUUAUUAUUGCUUUUCCACACCACCGCUGUGGUUGCAAUAAAGGCGCGUUACCGACUUUUUUCUGGUGUCCCGUUCCCCUUGGGGCCUAUUUUCACCCAUAUAAAGCAAAUAUUCUACAUAUAUAUGUACAUGCACA